UACCUAUUUUUCACAGGUGGAGUUCUACCGUCUGUGCAAAAAAUAACGCCGCUGCUGGAUAUCCUCUGCGGUAGUCAUGGGGUCGGACCGGUAUGUCAUGAGCUGAAUAUCGCCCCA
Molecule: non-coding RNA, 117 nt
Organism: Edwardsiella ictaluri 93-146
Lineage: Bacteria; Pseudomonadati; Pseudomonadota; Gammaproteobacteria; Enterobacterales; Hafniaceae
Source: Rfam